RNAcentral lists this ribosomal RNA (385 nucleotides) under uncultured soil bacterium. Its description in RNAcentral is "bacterial SSU rRNA". It matches the Rfam family "Bacterial small subunit ribosomal RNA", at positions 26 to 423 of the family's 1533-position model. The record is from RNAcentral.
AGAUUGAACGCUGGCGGCAUGCCUAACACAUGCAAGUCGAACGGGAGUAGCAAUACUCUAGUGGCGGACGGGUGAGGAAUACGUAGGAAUUUGCCCUUAAGUGGGGGAUAACCCGGGGAAACCCGGAUUAAUACCGCAUGACCUCGAAAGAGCAAAGUGGGGGAUCGCAAGACCUCACGCUUUUGGAGAAGCCUACGUCGGAUUAGCUAGUUGGUGAGGUAAUGGCUCACCAAGGCGACGAUCCGUAACUGGUCUGAGAGGAUGAUCAGUCACACCGGAACUGAGACACGGUCCGGACUCCUACGGGAGCAGCAGUGGGGAAUAUUGGACAAUGGGCGCAAGCCUGAUCCAGCAAUGCCGCGUGUGUAGAAGAAGGCCUUCGGUU